CCUACGGGUGGCAGCAGUGAGGAAUAUUGGUCAAUGGACGUGAGUCUGAACCAGCCAAGUAGCGUGAGGGAUGACUGCUCUAUGGGUUGUAAACUUCUUUUAUAUGGGAAUAAAGUGUUUCACGUGUGGUAUUUUGUAUGUACCUUAUGAAUAAGGAUCGGCUAACUCCGUGCCAGCAGCCGCGGUAAUACGGAGGAUCCGAGCGUUAUCCGGAUUUAUUGGGUUUAAAGGGAGCGUAGGUGGAUUUUUAAGUCAGUUGUGAAAGUUUGGGGCUCAACCGUAAAAUUGCCAUUGAUACUGGGAGUCUUGAGUACAGUUGAGGUAGGCGGAAUGCGUGGUGUAGCGGUGAAAUGCUUAGAUAUCACGCAGAACUCCGAUUGCGAAGGCAGCUUACUAAGCUGCCACUGACAGUGAUGCUCGAAAGUGUGGGUAUCAAACAGGAUUAGAUACCCGAGUAGUC
Molecule: ribosomal RNA, 460 nt
Filed under: uncultured bacterium
Lineage: Bacteria
Description: partial 16S ribosomal RNA
Rfam family: Bacterial small subunit ribosomal RNA
Source: RNAcentral